GACGGAGGCGGCCAGCGUUAUCCGGAAUUAUUGGGCGUAAAGGGUACGUAGGCGGCUGGUCAAGUCUGGGGUCAAAGGCCACAGCUCAACUGUGGGAAGGCCCUGGAAACUGACCGGCUAGAGUGAGGUAGGGGUUGCGGGAAUUCCCGGUGUAGCGGUGAAAUGCGUAGAGAUCGGGAAGAACACCUGAGGCGGAAGCGCGCAACUGGGCCUCAAAUGACGCUGAGGUGCGAAAGGUAGGGGAGCGAAUGGG
This 253-nucleotide ribosomal RNA is filed under the name uncultured bacterium. RNAcentral's name for it is "partial 16S ribosomal RNA". It matches the Rfam family "Bacterial small subunit ribosomal RNA", at positions 524 to 776 of the family's 1533-position model. The record is from RNAcentral.